Molecule: ribosomal RNA, 253 nt
Filed under: uncultured bacterium
Lineage: Bacteria
Description: partial 16S ribosomal RNA
Rfam family: Bacterial small subunit ribosomal RNA
Source: RNAcentral
UACAGAGGUCCCAAGCGUUGUUCGGAUUCACUGGGCGUAAAGGGUGCGUAGGUGGUGAGGUAAGUCGGAUGCGAAAGCUCGGAGCUCAACUCCGAAAUGGCAUUGGAAACUACCUUGCUCGAGGGUUGGAGGGGGGACUGGAAUGCUUGGUGUAGCAGUGAAAUGCGUAGAUAUCAAGUGGAACACCAGUGGCGAAGGCGAGUCUCUGGACAUUUCCUGACGCUGAGGCACGAAAGCCAGGGGAGCAAACGGG